AGAAGUUUCUCUGACCAAAGUCAAACAUUUCACUGUAGAGUUAAUGACAUUUCAGCAUGAAUGCUAAAUUAAAACUUGCUGUAACUGUUCCAGAUUUGAGAUGCUCUCCACAAUGAGACUUUAAGGAGUUAACUAUAGCACUGGUCACACACGCGAGUAGGGCUCUCUCUGCAGCCUUCCACCUGCAUUUUCUUAGUGGAGCAGGCACUGCACACUAGCCGGCCACAGCGGCGACAAUGAUGACGCCUGUUGAACUGAGGAGUGUCAUUGGGAAGAGAAGAGGCAAGAGGAGAAGGUGAGAUUGCAGAUACGAUGAGGGGAAAAGAGUCACAGAGAGAUCACAUUAUCAUCGUUCUCAUCAGCCCUGAGCUAAUAAGCCAGUCAGUACUGUGCUUCACAAAUGAUGGCUUUGACCAGAGUUUAGCAGAAUCCUGGACUCAGCUGACCAUUUGGUAUAAAAGGCAAGGCUACGCACCUUCUGCUGAAGAUGACUACAAUCAUCUUGAGGACACAAAGGACUCCUUAAGGACAUGAAGGGGCAGAAAUGAGACUGCAAAUGCUUUGCAUGGGAUUCAGCAUGAACAAAGUCAUCUGAAUUGACUAAACUUUUUGUAUUAUCCCAAAAGAAAAAUGGCAAAUGAUGGAGGCUUACUUGCAGAGCCUUUUCAUGAUCUCCUUUUUCUAGAAGGUGGAGAAGAUGCUUUUGAUGUAGGCUGAUUAAAUGCUCUCUUGGAAUGGGGUAGAGGCAGCCCCACUCUUCACACAGUCCAUACUCCUGGAAGGAAACACACACGGCUUGAAUCUCUUUAAAUCACCGGCCUUGUCACACAUCCAGCUUUUGCCAGAUUUUUCUCAGCAGUCUUGAGUCUGCUGGAGUCCCCAGGAAAGUCUGGUAAGUGUUGAUGGGAAGUUCAUUAUUGGAUUAAAGUGGGUUCAUAAACUCAAAGGACUACAGUGGCAAGGGAGUCAUGAAAACGAUCGAAGUAGGCUGAUGAUUAAUAUCACUUUCUUCUGUGAUCUAGUAUAAAAAAGAAAAAGAGGACAUCUAGUGACUGACAUUUGGUGUCAACCCUGGGGAGAUAGUAAGGAAAUGGGGAAUACUGAGAAGACUGUCCAAAGGAGACAGUGCCGAGUAACGUAUGGAAUUGCUGAAUUACUACAUUGUAUGCUGAAACUAAUAUAACACUAUAUAUUAAUUAUAUUUGAAUUAAAAUACAUAAACAAAAGAACAAAACAAAACACAAAGGAGACAGUGUCUACUCAACUCUGACUGUUACCAUAUAUGCAAGGCCCAGUGUUGCCAGACUUCAAAAAUUAAAAAAAAUUUUCUUCAAUCAAAAAA
Molecule: long non-coding RNA, 1342 nt
Organism: Lynx canadensis (Canada lynx)
Lineage: Eukaryota; Metazoa; Chordata; Mammalia; Carnivora; Felidae
Exons: 4
Source: RefSeq, a predicted model, not a curated record